This 384-nucleotide ribosomal RNA is filed under the name uncultured bacterium. RNAcentral's name for it is "bacterial SSU rRNA". It matches the Rfam family "Bacterial small subunit ribosomal RNA", at positions 355 to 762 of the family's 1533-position model. The record is from RNAcentral.
UGGGGAAGUAUUGCACAAAGGCGGCAAGCCUGAUGCAGCGACGCCGCGUGAGGGAUGACGGCCUUCGGGUUGUAAACCUACUUUCGCAGGGACGCGGUACCUGGAGAAGAAGCACCGGCCAACUACGUGCCAGCAGCCGCGGUAAUACGUAGGGUGCGAGCGUUGUCCGGAAUUACUGGGCGUAAAGAGCUCGUAGGUGGUUUGUCGCGUUGUUCGUGAAAACUCACAGCUUAACUGUGGGCGUGCGGGCGAUACGGGCAGACUGGAGUACUGCAGGGGAGACUGGAAUUCCUGGUGUAGCGGUGGAAUGCGCAGAUAUCAGGAGGAACACCGGUGGCGAAGGCGGGUCUCUGGGCAGUAACUGACGCUGAGGAGCGAAAGCGU